This 233-nucleotide ribosomal RNA is filed under the name uncultured bacterium. Its description in RNAcentral is "partial 16S ribosomal RNA". It matches the Rfam family "Bacterial small subunit ribosomal RNA", at positions 118 to 347 of the family's 1533-position model. The record is from RNAcentral.
UGAGCAAUCUGCCCUUCUCAUCGGAAUAAGCGUUGGAAACGACGUCUAAUGCCGAAUACGACCUCCUUUCGCAUGAUCGGAGGUGGAAAGCUCCGGCGGAGAAGGAUGAACUCGCGGCCUAUCAGCUAGUUGGUGUGGGUAAUGGCCCACCAAGGCGACGACGGGUAGCCGGCCUGAGAGGGUGACCGGCCACACUGGGACUGAGACACGGCCCAGACUCCGUACGGGAGNAG